AAUCAACGCUGGCGGCGUGCCUAAUACAUGCAAGUCGAACGCGAAGACCCCGCAAGGGGUUUGUAGCGUGGCAAACGGGUGAGUAACGCGUGGGCGACCUGCCCUCGAGUGGGGGAUAACCUUCCGAAAGGAGGGCUAAUACCGCAUGACAUACCGUGUUUGGAUACACGGAUAUCAAAGCUGGGGAUCGCAAGACCUGGCGCUUGAGGAGGGGCCUACGUCCGAUUAGCUAGUUGGUGAGGUAACGGCUCACCAAGGCGACGAUCGGUAUCCGGCCUGAGAGGGCGGACGGACACACUGGGACUGAGACACGGCCCAGACUCCUACGGGAGGCAGCAGUAGGGAAUUGUUCGCAAUGGGCGCAAGCCUGACGACGCAACGCCGCGUGGAGGAUGAAGACCUUCGGGUCGUAAACUCCUUUCGACCGAGAUGAACACCUUCCGACCUAACACGUUGGAAGGCUGACAGUACCGAGGGAAGAAGCCCCGGCUAACUCCGUGCCAGCAGCCGCGGUAAUACGGGGGGGGCAAGCGUUGUUCGGAAUUACUGGGC
This 552-nucleotide ribosomal RNA is filed under the name uncultured bacterium. RNAcentral's name for it is "bacterial SSU rRNA". It matches the Rfam family "Bacterial small subunit ribosomal RNA", at positions 28 to 559 of the family's 1533-position model. The record is from RNAcentral.